UGAUCUCGCUAAAAGCACGAACCGAUUCAGCCACAUUGACAGCUUUAGCCAAAUCCUCAAAUCUGGAGUCAAUAAUGGAUUUCAUUCUUUCCACAAACGCCUUCUCAAAUAUUUCAUCCCAUAGGUUCAAAUCAUCUUCCAGAACAAUCUCCCGGAUUCUAUUCCAAGGCAGCUCUACCUCAGACCCAAAAACACUCUUAAGCCAAUCUAAACUACCCCUCAAGACAUCUUUGCUAUCCAUGGUCUCUCUUAUCAACUUCUCCGCUGUCCCAAGCUCUCCACCAGUAACAAUAGCUUCAAUCAAAUGCUUCCCAUUAACCUUACCAACAAUCUGCCCACCACAUUCCCUCAACCAACUCAGGCAAGCUUUAGAAAUGUCAGUUUUAUCAAAAAUGACCAUGACGGAUUCCAAAUUAUCCCUGAACAAUUUCCACAACGCAACCUCCUCUUCCGGAUUCGGAAUCCCACCAAACAGUUGAGAAGCUGGAGGGGUACUCAAGAUAGAAAGUCACUUUCUUCAGGUGAUGUUUUAUUUCCGGCAAUAAGACCAAGUUUCUUUGCGUUAGGCUCAAUGAACCAGACACCACCACCUGUAGAUGGUCUGUUUAAGUAUGCUUGGAAGUUGAUCUUCUCACCAGUGAUCUCGCUAAAAGCACGAACCGAUUCAGCCACAUUGACAGCUUUAGCCAAAUCCUCAAAUCUGGAGUCAAUAAUGGAUUUCAUUCUUUCCACAAACGCCUUCUCAAAUAUUUCAUCCCAUAGGUUCAAAUCAUCUUCCAGAACAAUCUCCCGGAUUCUAUUCCAAGGCAGCUCUACCUCAGACCCAAAAACACUCUUAAGCCAAUCUAAACUACCCCUCAAGACAUCUUUGCUAUCCAUGGUCUCUCUUAUCAACUUCUCCGCUGUCCCAAGCUCUCCACCAGUAACAAUAGCUUCAAUCAAAUGCUUCCCAUUAACCUUA
RNAcentral lists this long non-coding RNA (961 nucleotides) under Brassica napus (rape). RNAcentral describes it as "long non-coding RNA (BNAP_LNC023662)". The record is from RNAcentral. Lineage: Eukaryota; Viridiplantae; Streptophyta; Magnoliopsida; Brassicales; Brassicaceae.